UGAGUUAAGUUGAGUUGAGUUGAAAAUAUGAUAGGUGAACCUCAGGCACAAGGCACACUAGCCCAAUGGUCUAUGUCUCGGAGCCUCAAAGGUGGGUGAUAUCACUGAGGCUUGCGCCUACCAGCAAAGUUGCAAGGCCCAAAAAUGGCACGCCUCAUAAACCAGCACUUCCUGCGAGCCUUCUCAUGCCUAAAGACCACCACCACUAGACUUGGAAUGCCCCUAUCUAUCUGAAUUCGAUAUCGAUGCGCUAGGACGUCUUUGGAAUUUACAUUUUUGUCACUUGAAUCUUGUUGAAACACCACUAUCGAGGUCGCUUGCUAGCAGUCUUUUUAUUAAAUUCGAAGAGAGUGUUGGGCAUAUUAUACCUUUAUUCAUUUUUAAUAUAGGCUUGUAUAAGUGAUUAUGUUGUUUUAUACAUUAAAAUGAUUAUCUAAUUCAAUGUUGCAACCCAACUAUAUGUAUUUUGCCCUUUCAUUUCAUACAUUU
This 489-nucleotide unclassified non-coding RNA is filed under the name Hevea brasiliensis (rubber tree). The record is from RNAcentral. Lineage: Eukaryota; Viridiplantae; Streptophyta; Magnoliopsida; Malpighiales; Euphorbiaceae.